RNAcentral lists this transfer RNA (85 nucleotides) under Sulfurovum sp. Its description in RNAcentral is "tRNA-Leu". It matches the Rfam family "tRNA". From Rfam's summary of the family: Transfer RNA (tRNA) molecules are approximately 80 nucleotides in length. Their secondary structure includes four short double-helical elements and three loops (D, anti-codon, and T loops). RNAcentral also lists the same sequence under 3 other names. Lineage: Bacteria; Pseudomonadati; Campylobacterota; Epsilonproteobacteria; Campylobacterales; Sulfurovaceae. The record is from RNAcentral.
GCGUCAGUGGUGGAACGGUAGACACGCUACCUUGAGGGGGUAGUGCCUUACGGGUGUGGAGGUUCAAAUCCUCUCUGGCGCACCA